AUGAGACAUCUGAGGAAAUAUCAUCUCAGUGAGAAGCACUAUGCAGUUGAGAAACAUGUGUUUAGGGGAAACCCAAAUAAAGAUGGAUUUCUUUGUCUGUGGGUUCCUUCUCUUUCUCUGCUUUUUUUUUUUUUUUUUUCUUUUUUCUUUUUCUUUUUUCUUUCUUAUUUCACAGGCUUUUUGAAUCCCUCAAGGAGCAUCCAGGAUGGAAUGAGAUUAGGUCUGGUCUUACCCUACUUCCUCCAAGCACACUCUGAGGAGCAAGUUAUCUCCUCCUGGAGAGCUGCAAAGCUGCAGAAGGACACCGAAGCCAUCAACUCCCUAGGUUUUCCAGGCUCCCGUUCUUGUCCUGCGCUGUCUUAUGCUAUUCCUAGAAGUAAAAUUUAAAUGAAAGCUUCAUUUGAAAUGUAGAACCAUCUGAAAA
RNAcentral lists this long non-coding RNA (424 nucleotides) under Phasianus colchicus (ring-necked pheasant). RNAcentral's name for it is "lncRNA (ENSPCLG00000003176.1)". The record is from RNAcentral. Lineage: Eukaryota; Metazoa; Chordata; Aves; Galliformes; Phasianidae.